CCUACGGGUGGCAGCAGUGGGGAAUAUUGGACAAUGGGCGAAAGCCUGAUCCAGCCAUGCCGCGUGUGUGAAGAAGGCCUUCGGGUUGUAAAGCACUUUCAGUGGGGAAGAAAGCCUUGGGGCUAAUACCCUCGAGGAAGGACAUCACCCACAGAAGAAGCACCGGCUAACUCCGUGCCAGCAGCCGCGGUAAUACGGAGGGUGCGAGCGUCAAUCGGAAUUACUGGGCGUAAAGCGCGCGUAGGCGGUCUGAUAAGCCGGUUGUGAAAGCCCCGGGCUCAACCUGGGAACGGCAUCCGGAACUGUCAGGCUAGAGUGCAGGAGAGGAAGGUAGAAUUCCCGGUGUAGCGGUGAAAUGCGUAGAGAUCGGGAGGAAUACCAGUGGCGAAGGCGGCCUUCUGGACUGACACUGACGCUGAGGUGCGAAAGCGUGGGUAGCAAACAGGAUUAGAUACCCUUGUAGUC
Molecule: ribosomal RNA, 465 nt
Filed under: Vreelandella stevensii
Lineage: Bacteria; Pseudomonadati; Pseudomonadota; Gammaproteobacteria; Oceanospirillales; Halomonadaceae
Description: partial 16S ribosomal RNA
Rfam family: Bacterial small subunit ribosomal RNA
Source: RNAcentral